ACUUCCGUGGUGUAGUGGCCAAUCAUCGGAGCCUUUGAAGCUCCGGACCGAGGUUCGAAUCCUCGCGGAAGUA
Molecule: transfer RNA, 73 nt
Filed under: Halobacterium salinarum
Lineage: Archaea; Methanobacteriati; Methanobacteriota; Halobacteria; Halobacteriales; Halobacteriaceae
Description: tRNA-Gln
Rfam family: tRNA
About the family: Transfer RNA (tRNA) molecules are approximately 80 nucleotides in length. Their secondary structure includes four short double-helical elements and three loops (D, anti-codon, and T loops). Further hydrogen bonds mediate the characteristic L-shaped molecular structure. tRNAs have two regions of fundamental functional importance: the anti-codon, which is responsible for specific mRNA codon recognition, and the 3' end, to which the tRNAs corresponding amino acid is attached (by aminoacyl-tRNA synthetases). tRNAs cope with the degeneracy of the genetic code in two manners: having more than one tRNA (with a specific anti-codon) for a particular amino acid; and 'wobble' base-pairing, i.e. permitting non-standard base-pairing at the 3rd anti-codon position.
Source: RNAcentral